Scylla paramamosain (green mud crab) is the source of this 672-nucleotide long non-coding RNA. RefSeq lists it as uncharacterized. The record is from RefSeq and is a predicted model, not a curated record. The transcript is spliced from 4 exons. Lineage: Eukaryota; Metazoa; Arthropoda; Malacostraca; Decapoda; Portunidae.
GUUAGCGGUUUGGCCUAAUGGAGGCAGAACUAUCGCCGGCUCGGAGCUUUACUUAAGGGUUCAUGUUCCUUGGCCAAACCAGUCCCUUCCUUCUCUGCCUUUGUCCCUCCGCGCACUAAGGACGUGAUGGGCCUUGUGCUGCUUCACCUUUGCGACACUCAGGGACUUUGCAAACUGCACCUGCGCCUUAAUUCCUGGCGAGAACGGAGAUGCUAAUUACUUCUGACAAGACAAGGCACCAAUACGUAUCAGACCUAACUUACCUUGAGGACUCCAUGGCGGCCAGCGUUACCAAGCCCGGAGUGACGACUGAAGUAGGAAGCAGUAACGGAAGAUGAAGUCAGUGUGCUGGAACAAGCUGGUGUAUGGGACGCGUCUGUCAUCUGGUUGUGUUCUGCUGCGCUGAGAGGGCAAGGCUGUGACAACCUAUAUGGCAUCUCGUCCUUUUCUCCAGUUUCACCCAUUUUCACAUUUCAGGUUCCAAUUCUCUUCUCAUGACGUGCCCCAAAUGACAUGACAUUAAAGUUUCACAAGUGGAAAUUAAGACUUGUUUCGCCUUGGAACAAACUAAAAGAACCUGCAGGCCGAAGAUCUCGUGUAUAAGCCUUUCACCGUGACGUCCUGCGAUGGGCCACCUCCAGGCUACUUGAAUACAGUGGACGCUUGCAUCUG